RNAcentral lists this long non-coding RNA (676 nucleotides) under Setaria viridis. RNAcentral's name for it is "long non-coding RNA (SVIR_LNC009214)". The record is from RNAcentral. Lineage: Eukaryota; Viridiplantae; Streptophyta; Magnoliopsida; Poales; Poaceae.
GAAAGGGAAAAGGACUCAUGCAGGCUGGAUUCGGACUCUAGGACAGCACCAAAUUGUGAUGGUCACCAUGGUCGCAUACGGACUCGGAUUGGGGUGUUCAAGUACUUCACGGAUUUGUUAUGAAGUCUAUUUCCAUAUGGAUCUAGACUCAAGUCCAUAUCUAGUCUGAGACGGCCGCAAUGACCGAAUUACUACCAAGAGGUUUUCUGGUGCUACGUCACUUUAAUUUGGCCCAAUGGGCCGUGUAUCAAGUCAGGUCCAUUAGGGACACAUCCUAGGGUUGGAGGAAAACCCCAAAAUCCUGGUGGUCAUCCUCCCACAUUCAUAUACCCCUUAGCCGCCAUGAAGAACAGUUGAGUUUUGUUUAGAUCAAGUUUAGCUCUCGCUACUUGCUUGUAAGCGUGCGUGCUGGAUCAGCCGCCCGUCUUCUUAUCUUCGGAACCCCACCUUAUUGAGAUUGAGAUUGAAACCUUCAUCUUCAUAUAGUACAUUCAAUACUUUUUAUACUUGUUCUUGCUAGUUCUUCGUUUGCUUGCAGGACUAGUGCCUUAGUUGCCGGGUGACGCGCUCCACAAGAUCGCGGCAUCCAUUGGAGGUGGUGUAUCAGUUGCUAAGGUGCAGCUUGGAAGGCUGUAGUCAGGCCGUGAACGUCGUCUCCAUCCACCAAUCAAGUUAC